AGUUUGAUCAUGGCUCAGAACGAACGCUGGCGGCAUGCCUAACACAUGCAAGUCGAACGAGACCUUCGGGUCUAGUGGCGCACGGGUGCGUAACGCGUGGGAAUCUGCCCUUGGGUUCGGAAUAACAGCGAGAAAUUGCUGCUAAUACCGGAUGAUGACGUAAGUCCAAAGAUUUAUCGCCCAAGGAUGAGCCCGCGUAGGAUUAGCUAGUUGGUGAGGUAAAAGGGCUCACCAAGGCGACGAUCCUUAGCUGGUCUGAGAGGAUGAUCAGCCACACUGGAACUGAGACACGGUCCAGACUCCUACGGGAGGCAGCAGUGGGGAAUAUUGGACAAUGGGCGAAAGCCUGAUCCAGCAAUGCCGCGUGAGUGAUGAAGGCCUUAGGGUUGUAAAGCUCUUUUACCCGGGAUGAUAAUGACAGUACCGGGAGAAUAAGCCCCGGCUAACUCCGUG
This 453-nucleotide ribosomal RNA is filed under the name uncultured bacterium. RNAcentral describes it as "bacterial SSU rRNA". It matches the Rfam family "Bacterial small subunit ribosomal RNA", at positions 10 to 507 of the family's 1533-position model. The record is from RNAcentral.